This 108-nucleotide small RNA is filed under the name Marmota monax (woodchuck). Lineage: Eukaryota; Metazoa; Chordata; Mammalia; Rodentia; Sciuridae. The record is from RNAcentral.
GCCAGGCAUGGUGGUGGUUCAUGCCUGUAAUUCCAGCUACUUAAGGCUGAGGCAGGAGGACUGCAAGUUGGAGGCGAGCCUCAGCAACUUAGUGAGAUCCUGCCUCAA